RNAcentral lists this ribosomal RNA (446 nucleotides) under uncultured bacterium. RNAcentral's name for it is "partial 16S ribosomal RNA". It matches the Rfam family "Bacterial small subunit ribosomal RNA", at positions 338 to 795 of the family's 1533-position model. The record is from RNAcentral.
CCUACGGGAGGCAGCAGUCGAGAAUCAUUCACAAUGGGGGAAACCCUGAUGGUGCGACGCCGCGUGGGGGAAUGAAGGUCUUCGGAUUGUAAACCCCUGUCAUGUGGGAGCAAAUUAAAAAGAUAGUACCACAAGAGGAAGAGACGGCUAACUCUGUGCCAGCAGCCGCGGUAAUACAGAGGUCUCAAGCGUUGUUCGGAAUCACUAGGCGUAAAGCGUGCGUAGGCUGUUUCGUAAGUCGUGUGUGAAAGGCGCGGGCUCAACCCGCGGACGGCACAUGAUACUGCGAGACUAGAGUAAGGGAGGGGGAACCGGAAUUCUCGGUGUAGCAGUGAAAUGCGUAGAUAUCGAGAGGAACACUCGUGGCGAAGGCGGGUUCCUGGACAUUAACUGACGCUGAGGCACGAAGGCCAGGGGAGCGAAAGGGAUUAGAUACCCGAGUAGUC